This 573-nucleotide ribosomal RNA is filed under the name Hanseniaspora sp. Its description in RNAcentral is "eukaryotic LSU rRNA". It matches the Rfam family "Eukaryotic large subunit ribosomal RNA", at positions 62 to 649 of the family's 3401-position model. The record is from RNAcentral. Lineage: Eukaryota; Fungi; Ascomycota; Saccharomycetes; Saccharomycodales; Saccharomycodaceae.
AAACCAACUGGGAUUACCUUAGUAACGGCGAGUGAAGCGGUAAAAGCUCAAAUUUGAAAUCUGGUACUUUCAGUGCCCGAGUUGUAAUUUGUAGAAUUUGUCUUUGAUUAGGUCCUUGUCUAUGUUCCUUGGAACAGGACGUCAUAGAGGGUGAGAAUCCCGUUUGGCGAGGAUACCUUUUCUCUGUAAGACUUUUUCGAAGAGUCGAGUUGUUUGGGAAUGCAGCUCAAAGUGGGUGGUAAAUUCCAUCUAAAGCUAAAUAUUGGCGAGAGACCGAUAGCGAACAAGUACAGUGAUGGAAAGAUGAAAAGAACUUUGAAAAGAGAGUGAAAAAGUACGUGAAAUUGUUGAAAGGGAAGGGCAUUUGAUCAGACAUGGUGUUUUUUGCAUGCACUCGCCUCUCGUGGGCUUGGGCCUCUCAAAAAUUUCACUGGGCCAACAUCAAUUCUGGCAGUAGGAUAAAUCAUUAAGAAUGUAGCUACCUCGGUAGUGUUAUAGCUUAUUGGAAUACUGCUAGCUGGGAUUGAGGACUGCGCUUCGGCAAGGAUGUUGGCAUAAUGGUUAAAUGCCGCC